CGGAUUUUCAAGAAGUUCCCUCGAUUUCUCUGGGAUCCCAUCAUCAGAUCCUGGUUUCCUUAUCAUGGUACUAAACUAGGGAUAUCUUCUUUUCAACAAAAAAAGAAUUAUCAAAAUCGGUACAUCCAGUAGAAAGUCAUGCGGUAUAAUACAACGUAGGUCGACGAAAAAAGCGUCAAGUAAAAACGCAUUAUUAGAUAUAACUCGAAAA
This 211-nucleotide unclassified non-coding RNA is filed under the name Melitaea cinxia (Glanville fritillary). RNAcentral's name for it is "misc RNA ENSMCXG00005006865.1". The record is from RNAcentral. Lineage: Eukaryota; Metazoa; Arthropoda; Insecta; Lepidoptera; Nymphalidae.